Molecule: ribosomal RNA, 383 nt
Filed under: uncultured organism
Description: bacterial SSU rRNA
Rfam family: Bacterial small subunit ribosomal RNA
Source: RNAcentral
CGCAAUGGGCGAAAGCCUGACAGAGCAAUACCGCGUGAGGGAUGAAGACUUACUGAGUUGUAAACCUCGGUGCCUUAAGGAAGAAGAUCUGACGGUACUUAAGGUGGAAAGCAUCGGCUAACUCCGUGCCAGCAGCCGCGGUAAGACGGGGGAUGCAAGUGUUAUCCGGAUUUACUGGGCGUAAAGCGUCUGCAGGUGGUUUCUUAAGUCUACUGUUAAAUCUUGAGGCUCAACCUCAAAUCUGCAGUAGAAACUAGGAGACUUGAGUAUAGUAGGGGUAGAGGGAAUUUCCAGUGGAGCGGUGAAAUGCGUAGAUAUUGAAAAGAACACCGAUGGCGAAGGCACUCUACUGGGCUAUUCCUUCCUUUCACAGACGAAAGCUA